CGAUAGAGGUCGCGGAGAUUAAGAGUAUGCAUUGCGGUCUGUGUUUCACAGCCGCUGCAGAAAGGAUGAUCCGCCGAAGGAUUUCAGACCUGCAUCUGAUUUCCUGGGCCGCCGUAAUAAGAUGCGGCGGACUGUCACGAAAGUGGAGCGCUAUCAU
Molecule: non-coding RNA, 157 nt
Filed under: bovine gut metagenome
Description: Lysine riboswitch
Rfam family: Lysine riboswitch aptamer
About the family: Riboswitches are metabolite binding domains within certain messenger RNAs that serve as precision sensors for their corresponding targets. Allosteric rearrangement of mRNA structure is mediated by ligand binding, and this results in modulation of gene expression.
Source: RNAcentral